GGCGCGGCGGGGGAUGGGAAAUCUCCAUUGCCAGAAGGCUGGGCUCCCGGCGUUUGAAACCGAGGGUGUGGGGUUCUGCGGUGCUCCGGGCUCGGGUUGAAUACCUGGAUCCCGAGGGAGGUGCAAACUGUAGCCCAGGAUGCCUCUCAGACGCGUCUGUGGCCAGAUGCUGCCGAGUCCCGCUGAAGGGGAAGCCUCCCGGCCCCCGAACAGAGCCUCGGGGACCUUCCCCAACUUCCAAACCUAACUCAAACCCUUCAAGAAGCUCCAGGUCGACUGCACUUCCGUCCUCCAAGCUUCAUCUCUUCUGGCAGAGCGGAAGCCUGUAGGCACUGUUUUGGGGACUGAGGAUACAAUCACAGACAAACCAAAGACCCUGAUUUAAUGAGGCAACAUGAGAAGAACAAUAAAAAAAAUCCUAUUAAUGAUUAAUAGGACUCUUUUUGAGCACCUACUAUGGAGUCAGGAAGUUAUCUUAUCCCCACAACAA
This is a long non-coding RNA of Lontra canadensis (Northern American river otter), 490 nucleotides long. RefSeq lists it as uncharacterized. The transcript is spliced from 3 exons. NCBI's taxonomy places the organism in Eukaryota, Metazoa, Chordata, Mammalia, Carnivora, Mustelidae. The record is from RefSeq and is a predicted model, not a curated record.